CAGCCGCCGCGGGAACACGUAGGUGGCAAGCGUUGUCCGGAUUUAUUGGGCGUAAAGCGAGCGCAGGCGGUUUCUUAAGUCUGAUGUGAAAGCCCCCGGCUCAACCGGGGAGGGUCAUUGGAAACUGGGAAACUUGAGUGCAGAAGAGGAGAGUGGAAUUCCAUGUGUAGCGGUGAAAUGCGUAGAUAUAUGGAGGAACACCAGUGGCGAAGGCGGCUCUCUGGUCUGUAACUGACGCUGAGGCUCGAAAGCGUGGGGAGCAAACAGGAUUAGAUACCCCCGUAGUCCCUGUCUCUUAUAC
Molecule: ribosomal RNA, 301 nt
Filed under: uncultured bacterium
Lineage: Bacteria
Description: partial 16S ribosomal RNA
Rfam family: Bacterial small subunit ribosomal RNA
Source: RNAcentral